UGGCUCUCGCAUCGAUGAAGAACGCAGCGAAAUGCGAUAAGUAAUGUGAAUUGCAGAAUUCAGUGAAUCAUCGAAUCUUUGAACGCACCUUGCGCUCCUUGGUAUUCCGAGGAGCAUGCCUGUUUGAGUGUCAUUAAAUCAUCAAUCUGCAACUUUGCUGUUGUUGUAUUGGACUUGGGGACUUGCUGGUUCUAUUCAGGAUUGGCUUCCCUUAAAUGCAUUAGCUGGAGUAAUACAAGCAGCGUAUAUGCGGUGUGAUAAUAUCUUCACUGUGUUGCUCUUGUUGAGUCUGGCUUCUAACAGUCCUUCAGUUGGACAACUUUGACAAUCUGACCUCAAAUCAGGUAGGACUACCCGCUGA
This 361-nucleotide unclassified non-coding RNA is filed under the name uncultured fungus. Its description in RNAcentral is "partial contains 5.8S ribosomal RNA and internal transcribed spacer 2". The stretch from base 1 to 133 matches the Rfam family "5.8S ribosomal RNA", at positions 22 to 154 of the family's 154-position model. The record is from RNAcentral. Lineage: Eukaryota; Fungi.